ACGACCCGUUACACCCCCCGUUCGCCAGKGAACAACGAGCCCCAGCUUAAAACCCAAAGGACUUGGCGGUGCUUUAGACCCCCCUAGAGGAGCCUGUUCUAGAACCGAUUCCCCCCGUUCAACCUCACCCUCUCUUGUUUUCCCCGCCUAUAUACCGCCGUCGUCAGCUUACCCCUUGCCGGCCAAACAGUAAGCAAAAUUGGCAAAGCCCAAAACGUCAGGUCGAGGUGUAGCGUACGAGAGGGGAAGAAAUGGGCUACAUUUACUGAACCAGUAAACACGAAUGUUGCACUGAAACGAGCAUCUGAAGGAGGAUUUAGCAGUAAGGGGGCAGCAGAGCGUCCCCCUGAAAACGGCCCUGAAGCGAGCACACACCG
Molecule: ribosomal RNA, 377 nt
Filed under: Ctenogobiops sp. SOK-2013
Lineage: Eukaryota; Metazoa; Chordata; Actinopteri; Gobiiformes; Gobiidae
Description: partial 12S ribosomal RNA
Rfam family: Bacterial small subunit ribosomal RNA
Source: RNAcentral